CCCGUCGGGCGGUGCCUGCCGCCGCCCCCGCUCCCAGCAGCCCUUGCAAACGCCUACAAUGAAAUUUGCGAAGUUUUUUCGGUUUCGGCGCCAUUUUCGAGUGGACUCGGAGGAAUCGUGCUUCCAGAUCUGUCCCUUGUUGUUUAAAACUGGAUGAGAUGACAAUGCAAAAACUGGAAGUAACAAGAAGCAUCAUACUUUUCUUCUCCUCAGCAGUGCUGAGAAAAAACUGUGGAUCCUGGAAUUUUACUGUGGAUUUUACUGGUUUUCUGGAGCACUGUAAGUUGAAGUCGGAUCCUGCAGGCCUUUGCGAGCACCAGGAGCUUUCCCUCCUGUUACCAGGCCCGUCUUGGUAAAUGCGGUCAGUCCUGCUAGGAGCAGAGUUUGGGUCAAGUUUCGAGUCGAGUAAAAUUAACGAAUUUGUUUUUUGCAUGGACUGAAUUCACCCGGUGUAGCUGCAGCGUGGCUCCGGGUGUUCUGCCCUGAGCAAGGGCGCGUUGAAGCGGCGCGGGCUGACACGCAGAGGUACGUGCUGCUGGAACCCACGUGUGGCUCUCCUAGGCUGUAAUUCAGAUGAAACGCAAGCUGCUUCUCUGACCCUUUUUCUGAGCAGAUUAGUGAGGGGAAAAAUAAUUUAAAUAAAGUGCAUGAGAAAUCACCAGCUCUCAUCCAGGUUUGACAUGUGAACGUUAGUUAAAAUGUAUAUAUUUUAUGCAUUAUUUUUUUUUCGUGGCCCAGUAAGAAGUCUUAGCUGAGCAAAACACCUGUAGCAGGGAUUUUCAUGUGGCAUUUGCACACCCGGGAGAGGAGAUGCGCUGUAGGCACCCAUACAAAUGAAAGUAACCUCGCUGCGUGCAGCUCCCGCGUCUGGCUGCUCGUGCUGCCUGGUCGUCAUCGCUCUUCACGCAGCCUUAGCUCCGCUUCGGCUGCUCUGUGAGUCGGGUUGUAUCGGAAACGUAAUAGCUGGAAACAUGUGGUGGCUGUCGGUCAAACGGCGGGUCCGAUUCCAGCUAUUAGCCACAUCUGUAAAUAUUAAGACGUGACUUUGUUUAAAUUUCAUUGUUCAAACGAAGGCAGGAAUGAAAGUGGUGUGAUUUUUCAGAUCCAGUCAGAUAUGAAGUGUUUCAGUGGUGCUACUCGCCGCCUUGUUUUCAUCUUGUUACUAUAAUUGUGAGCAUCUCACUUAUCAAUGUUUGGGACCUUCAGCUGUAACAAGAUGAUUUAUUUUAUUUUUUUUUGUAAAAUAGUAAAUGCUUUUUUUAUUUUUUUUUUUUUUAAGUGAGAACAAUGAUUUCAGUAUUUAUUUGUGCAUGUCUCCUAAAAAAAAAAAAGUGUUGAAUAGCAUUGGUUUUUUUUAUUAUUUUAUUUUUUUCCAUCCUUAAUGUAUAUAUAGGAAAUACUUAACAUUUACGUGUCUCUGAGCUUACCUAGCCCUGGAGAGGGUGUGAGUCAGUGAGGGCAUGUAUGCAAAUCUGUCCUGUCGUGGGCUCAUAUAUUUAUUUCCUUUCCUUUCCCCUGGUGCUCUUUCGCACUCUUUUUUUCUUACUUUUUUCUUUUUUUUUUGUUUUUCUUGUUAGAGUGUUGUAAGGAAGGUUUAAACUACAUUUUAAGGGAUCCCUGUAUUUCAGGGUGAAUCUCUUUGUGUUUGAGCUUAGGAUUUUUUUUUUUUUGGGGGGGGGGGGGCUUUUUACUUAGUUGCCCAAUAUAUUUUGGCAAGCAGAAAUUGCAUUGUUUUGUGAACUGCGUUAAUAGAUUUCUGCAUGUUCAAUUUUCCCAGUUAUUUGGAAGAUUUAAUUAAACCUCCGUAGGUGGCAGGCUUACAUAUUUGACAGGUAGAAGUCUUGAUUUCUAGAAAUAGCUGGCGCGUGAACUGCAGGGGCAGAGGUGUUGCGAUGGCUUUGCAUUGAGAUGCAGCGUUUGGGGGUGAUUCCCUUGGUGUUUGGGGCUGCCAGCACAGCAGGGCAGGGCUGGUGUCACCCACAUGUCCCUGCAGCGUCGGGGUCGUUAGUGUACUUUGUGUACAGUCUCCAAGAAGAACACUCCUUGCAACUCUGGAGGUGGAAAGCUGUUUGUUUGGUGUCUGUUUGUUUGUUUGUUUUUCCCCCUAAUUUUGUGCCCACCCAAACCUUUGCUGCGUUCAUGUGGCGAAGUGACCUCAGUGAGGUGACAGCCACAGCCUGGUGCCCCCACCCGACGCACAGCACUUGCAUGAGCAUUUCGUAAACCUUUUGUGUUGCUUUCCAGCUCCCGCUGGAGCAGUGACUGCCCUGCAGAAGGAGUUGAGGUGUCAGCGCUCAUAGGUGAGUAGGGAAGGUAAGUGCCAGCACCCAUGCCUGGCCCGCUGUGAGGCACUCGCAGCAUCCGCCUCCCUCUGGGUCAGUGCAGGUCCUCUGGGAGAGGUCAAGGUGAAACUCCAGUCGGCUGCCGUCCUUCUGACUUAAUAGUGAGAACCCAGAACACAAAGCAAGCUUGAAACAUUCUGGAAAAAAGCUCAAGCGUGAGAUGAGGUGAUUCAAACACGGAGCUUAGUAUUGCUUCAUGUCAUUAUUUUGUCAUGGCAAAAACACACACAUUUUCUCAGAUACAUAUUUCAUUGCCUGUCCCAAAUUUCCAGGUGCUCAGUGUGAGUGUUGCUCGUCUUUGGCAUGUAUUGAAACCUCACCUGGGGAAACUCAUCCUUACUUGAAGAGCUCUUGCACCAUCUUGUCAAACUAGACUAGAAACUUUCUUAUUUUUGUCUAUAUAUGUAUACAUGUGUAUGUAUACAAGUGUAUUUUAUUUUGUGUGUGUGUGUAUACGUAUAUAUAUAUAUAUAAAUAGAAAUUUGUUAAAAGGUGAACCCCAAACACAGUCAAAAGAGAUUCUAAAACUGAACUUGUUUACUAUUGCUUUUUGUUUCUUUGAGCCCCUUGAAGAGAUGAAAGAAAUAAGACUACACAGGUACGGUCAUGUCAAAGUGUUAAAGAAAAAAAGGUAAAAUUAUGUGGGGGGUUGUUUUGUAUUGGCUUGUACAGGUCUGACUUUGGGUACUUGUUAGCUGCUUUGCGGUAAAUAGCAGUUGCUCUUUAUAGAGUUGGAGCUAGUGCUAUCAGUAUUGAGGACACUGAAGUGGGUGAAAAAAAGAGUUGUUGGCAAAAAAUUGCAUUGGCAAAUAUUUAAUUUAAAAUUUGAAAUAAUUUGGCACAGGUCCUGAAACCUUUUGAAAUUCCUAUUUUUAAGUUUGCUAAAAAGGCAAGGACUACUGAGAGGUGGACAAACUGGAACUCAGAUAACCAGCGUGCUUACUGCAAGGGACGGCACGAGGAUUUGAACUAAUUGCGUCAUUUCUGACAUUGUUCUCUUUUUUUGUGAUGCUGCUUUUUAAGAAAAUGAAUUGAAGGAAGUUGUCACAUAACUGGAAAAAAAGUCAAAAGGAAACACAAAAAUGUCAGGCUAUCUGCACGGCUUCUGUAUGGGUACUUGCAAGGGCCUCUGGCGGCUCCGUGCUUCAGAGUUACAGCUGCUCUCUGCCCUGCGCUGUCAGGUUUCUGCUCAGGUACAGGGAGGGGAGGUGAUGAAGUUUCAGAGUAUCUUUAAUUUCUGGCUGCAUACGAUUUAUCCGUUCAAAUAGUAAAUGAGCAUAAUACAGUGGUUUUUUAAUUAAAAAAAAAAAGGGGGGGUGGUAUUUCCCAAAAGUCAAAGUAGUUUAAGGAGAUUUUAACAGGUUUGCCCUGUUGGAACGUGUAUUUAAAUACUAGCAUUGCAACUCCUGGAAAACACACGAUGUUCAGCAGCUGCUCAGAGGAAGGUACAGUGUGACAUCUCCAGAGAGAGUGUUUGGAAGGGCCGGAAAGGUCUGCAGGAUCUUUACAGCACCAAAAGCAGCAGAUCUAGAUCUGAAAGUGUAGAUUUGCCAAGACCCAAGUGUUGUGUUGUUGGGGGGUGGGAGGGAUGGCUGAUUUCUGUUUGUUUGUUUGCACUGUGUAACUGCUUGUUCUUUAUAGUUACAGACUUUAAGGUAGCACCUGUGAAGGAAAAAAAAAAAAAGUCCCGUGGUGGUAAUGCAUGCACGUUAAAUGUCUUCAUUGUAGAGUGUUCUUCAGUACCUUAUAUCAUGGUUUUUUAAAAAAAAAAAUCAAAAUACCAUUUGGAAUGUCAACAUUCAGUGGGCUUUGAGGAGAUGUAGCAGCACAUCAUGGUUUGUAGGGACAAGGAGAUACAGACCAUUCUGGGCUGCCUCAUUACCUCAAGGAUAAGACAAGAAAGUGAGCUUCUGGUUAUCAUAGAUGUGGAAGCUAACGCAUUCCCAUGUAUCUCUUUAGUUCAGUUGAACAGGUAUGUGUAGAUAAGUCUUCUCGGUGCUGACGUGCACAUCUUUGCAGCUACAAAUACCUGCCGUGUGAGUCUGCAUUUGUGUGUCUCAGUGGGGCUGGCCCUGCAGGCAGAAGGACUUGCAGCUCCUUUUGUUCUUCAGGGCGGGGAUGGCUUGAUCUUGGCUUGAGCAUAAUGCCUCUGGCUGGCAUGUUACCCCUCAAGCCCUGCUCAAGGUAAUGCUCCUGCUCUUCAGCCUUUGCCCCGGCAAAAGGAUUGGCCAGGUACUCUCCCCCAUAGUUUUUGGGGGUCCUGGGAGGGAGGGGGUGGAUCUGGAGGCCGUGGAGAGGUGCUAGGAUGGAAAAGCUGUCAGCAGUGCUCUAGCAGCACGUAAAUACUGGAGUUUGGGAUUGCCUGUUGCUCUCCAGUAUUGCAUUGCUGCUUUAGUGAGGCUGGAAAUCGGUCCCUGGCUCCUGGGGUGCCUCCCUGGCACAGCUCCCCGUGCCUCCACCCUGCUGCUGGGGGGGCUCCCAUCUCCCACACCAAUAAACCACUGCGGAGGCAGCGACGAA
This is a non-coding RNA of Anas platyrhynchos (mallard), 4862 nucleotides long. NCBI's taxonomy places the organism in Eukaryota, Metazoa, Chordata, Aves, Anseriformes, Anatidae. The record is from RefSeq and is a predicted model, not a curated record.